This 496-nucleotide ribosomal RNA is filed under the name uncultured bacterium. RNAcentral describes it as "partial 16S ribosomal RNA". It matches the Rfam family "Bacterial small subunit ribosomal RNA", at positions 29 to 507 of the family's 1533-position model. The record is from RNAcentral.
AUGAACUCUGGCGGCGUGCCUAAUACAUGCAAGUCGAGCGAACGGACGAGAAGCUUGCUUCUCUGAUGUUAGCGGCGGACGGGUGAGUAACACGUGGAUAACCUACCUAUAAGACUGGGAUAACUUCGGGAAACCGGAGCUAAUACCGGAUAAUAUUUUGAACCGCAUGGUUCAAAAGUGAAAGACGGUCUUGCUGUCACUUAUAGAUGGAUCCGCGCUGCAUUAGCUAGUUGGUAAGGUAACGGCUUACCAAGGCAACGAUGCAUAGCCGACCUGAGAGGGUGAUCGGCCACACUGGAACUGAGACACGGUCCAGACUCCUACGGGAGGCAGCAGUAGGGAAUCUUCCGCAAUGGGCGAAAGCCUGACGGAGCAACGCCGCGUGAGUGAUGAAGGUCUUCGGAUCGUAAAACUCUGUUAUUAGGGAAGAACAUAUGUGUAAGUAACUGUGCACAUCUUGACGGUACCUAAUCAGAAAGCCACGGCUAACUACGUG